This 381-nucleotide long non-coding RNA is filed under the name Bos taurus (domestic cattle). RNAcentral's name for it is "long non-coding RNA NONBTAT017796". Lineage: Eukaryota; Metazoa; Chordata; Mammalia; Artiodactyla; Bovidae. The record is from RNAcentral.
UUGAGAUGUUCUCAGGAUGGCAUUGAAAUGGUGUGGAAGGCUUAGGUUGCAGAAAUGUAGCGGAGAAAUUACAAAGGAUAUCUCAACAAUCUCAACAAUGAUACUACCCCACCACCAUCCCACCCCACCCCAGGGAAGUAUCUAGAAAGGGCCUGUAGGCAUCUGGUUAGGAUUGGCCUUAAUUGACAUCUUCCUCAACUAUCUGCAGGAAAUAUCAAGUAUGUUAUUAAAAUUCACAGAUGCAAUCAGUUGUCAGAGUCACUGGAGACCAAUAAUUAUUUCACAGGCAUCAAGACUGUUUGGGGGUGCUGACAGGAGGGAGAACAAUUCAGCCUGGAAAAAUGCAAACCGAUGGAUACAGUGGGAAAAGGCUUAGGGAAA